UUAUAUAUAGUAUAAAAAUUACAUUUAACUUCCAAUUAAAAAAUUUUAAUAAAUAAAUAUAUAAA
RNAcentral lists this transfer RNA (65 nucleotides) under Andrena haemorrhoa. RNAcentral's name for it is "tRNA-Gly". Lineage: Eukaryota; Metazoa; Arthropoda; Insecta; Hymenoptera; Andrenidae. The record is from RNAcentral.